This 686-nucleotide ribosomal RNA is filed under the name uncultured bacterium. RNAcentral's name for it is "bacterial SSU rRNA". It matches the Rfam family "Bacterial small subunit ribosomal RNA", at positions 83 to 801 of the family's 1533-position model. The record is from RNAcentral.
UACCUGAGUACAGUGGCGCACGGGUGAGUAACACGUGAAUAAUCUACCUCCGAGUGGGGAAUAACUGAGAGAAAUCUUAGCUAAUACCGCAUAACACUUACGAGUCAAAGCAGCAAUGCGCUUGGAGAGGAGUUCGCGGCCGAUUAGUUAGUUGGCGGGGUAAUGGCCCACCAAGACGAUGAUCGGUAUCCGGCCUGAGAGGGCGCACGGACACACUGGAACUGAAACACGGUCCAGACUCCUACGGGAGGCAGCAGUGGGGAAUUUUGCGCAAUGGGGGAAACCCUGACGCAGCAACGCCGCGUGGAGGAUGAAAUAUCUUGGUAUGUAAACUCCUUUCGAUGGGGAAGAUUAUGACGGUACCCAUAGAAGAAGCCCCGGCUAACUUCGUGCCAGCAGCCGCGGUAAUACGAGGGGGGCAAGCGUUGUUCGGAUUUAUUGGGCGUAAAGGGUGCGUAGGCGGUUUGGCAAGUCUGAUGUGAAAUCUAUGGGCUCAACCCAUAGUCUGCAUCAGAAACUGCCGGGCUUGAGUAUGGGAGAGGUGAGUGGAAUUUCCGGUGUAGCGGUGAAAUGCGUAGAUAUCGGAAGGAACACCUGUGGCGAAAGCGGCUCACUGGACCAUAACUGACGCUGAUGCACGAAAGCUAGGGGAGCAAACAGGAUUAGAUACCCUGGUAGUCCUAGCC